Molecule: signal recognition particle RNA, 297 nt
Filed under: Saimiri boliviensis boliviensis (Bolivian squirrel monkey)
Lineage: Eukaryota; Metazoa; Chordata; Mammalia; Primates; Cebidae
Description: Metazoan signal recognition particle RNA (ENSSBOG00000001472.1)
Rfam family: Metazoan signal recognition particle RNA
About the family: The signal recognition particle (SRP) is a universally conserved ribonucleoprotein. It is involved in the co-translational targeting of proteins to membranes.
Source: RNAcentral
GGGGGUGUGGUGGCUUGCCUGUGGCCCCAGCUACUCAGGAGCCUGAGGUGGGAGGAUCGCUUGAGCCCAGCAGUUCUGGGCUGUAGUGCACUAUGCCAAUUGGGUGUCCGCACUAAGUUCCUCAUCAAUAUGGUGGCCUCCCGGGAAGGGGGGACCACCAGGUUGCCUAAGGAGGGGUGAACCGGCCCAGGUCAGAAACAGAGCAGGUCAAAACUCCUGUGCUGAUCAGUAGUGGGAUCGCUCCUGUGAAUAGCCACUGUACUCCAGCCUGGGCAACAUAACGAGACCCCCAUCUCU